CCUGCCCCGCCGCCUCCCCGGCCACCGUAGGCACUUCCUGUUUGUCUGAAAAAGAAAUCUUUAUUCGCGUUCUGCGCGGACAAGCACAGUGUCGUUCUAGAGAGACGCCACGGGAGGGCGCGAGAGUCUGCAAGCGAAAGACAGCGCGCCAAGCCUGUGUGGACGUGGUCCUCCUGUGGAGGAGCAGAAGGGCCGGACGCUCCCGGUUUCGACGGCAACCCCUGCGUCCCGAGCUUCUCUGGGUCCUCCUGAGAUUCUUUCAUUGAUUCACAAGAGGGAGAUUAGAAGACCUGCUUUCUCAAUCUCCCACAUCUAAAGAUGCUGAAAAUAUGAUAUUGACAUCAAUAUCAGAGGAUUCUGAGUCAGAGGCUGAACUUUCUGAAUUGCAUCAAUGGGUUCCCUUGUCUUUUGGCUGCUGGCUGAGUUUCAUCAAUGAGGAGCAACAGAAGAGACUGGAGAGGGGGCUAUUCAGCUGCUUGGAUUAGACUCCCCUGGUCUCCUCCCUGCUGGUUCUCCUCCGGUUGGCUGCAUCUCUCUAUGGAGGGCACAGCUAGAAUCAAACUGCCUUCUCCACACAGUUUUCUCCCCAGACCAGCAACAUUGCCAUCACCUGCGAAUUUGUGAAAAAUACAAAUACUCCAGUCCUACGCCAAACCUACUGAGGCAGAAACUCCAGCGGGAGGCCCAGCAAUCUAUGUUUAACAAGCCCUGCAAGUAAUUCAUACACAGUUUGACAACCACUGCUGUAACUAACUACUCUUUUUUUCUCUCUCACAGCUACUAACCCUGCGAUACUGUCCAGUCCUUUGUUGUUUUCCCCCAAACUCUGUUUACCUUUGUAAAUAGUCCUUUUACUAUACUCUCCUCAAAUUACUCAUUUUGAGUAUGCCAUGGUUUCCUGCAGGACCCUAACAAUGUCAACAAGGGGCUUCUUGGGAUCCAAAAAAUAAGACAGCUAACUGCUUUGUCCUCUGCCUGUGAAAAGUACAGGCCCACUGACCAAGCUGAAAGAAAAAACCUGUGAUGGGAUAGCCAAGUAAGGAGAUCUAGUUACAGAUCACCCCAAAAUCCUUUAGGCAAAAGCUUGCAGUGGAUCUCUGUGUUUCAGAAAAUGUUUGUUUGGUAAACUAAGAAAUGAUGUAAUAUCCUUGUGAGACAUAUGACUAAAAUCUGAGGUUUUUGUGUAGGCUUGGGCUGUAAUGUUGGUUUUUACCAAGGGCUUUAGUCUGAGGAGGGAAAAUGCUAAAAUAAGUUGCUACUUGGAAAAGGAAGCUGAUGGUAUUUCUUUCCUUUGGCCUGGGCCAAAGCUAUAGCAAGCUAAAUUCAUACCAUUUAUUUUUCAUCCAAUAUGAAAGUCGUAUAGACCAAGACAUAACAUUUGAGCACCAAUAGAGAAUAAACAAGUUCAAAGGGUCAGUCUGACUAGAAUGUAUAAUGCCUAAGACAAAGGGAGACUGUUUCUAGGUGUUUGUUUCCUCAGGUCUCUUGUCACAAGGAGUCACCUUGUUUCCAGGGCAUAAAUCCAAGGCAGAAAUAUUCAACAGAGGUCAGGAAGGUAGCCUUGAGUAAAACUGAGAAGCCCCACUCCAGCAAGUCAUUUCCUUUGGAAAUGUAAAGGUUAGUAAGCCUGGAAUCAGGAUAAGAAAGAGGCUUUGGGAAAACUUAGCCCAAAGUGCUAAACUAACACAGGUUUUUCUUGCCUUUGUGGAAUGAAUCUAUUGCUUUUCCUACAAAUGAAGAAACUGGUUUUCAAAGUAACAUCUCUUAUUUAUGCUUUAUAAAUUUGGCCAGUAAUAACUGGACCCUAAAAAAUGGCGAGUCAGGCUAGGCUUGUCUUCAAAUUUUGUCUUUAAUUCACUUUUUAAAUACAAUUCCCCUCCAUCUCUCCUUCCCUUCUCCCUUUUCCCCCCUCCCCUGCCCCAGAGAUCCAUGGUUUCCUCAAGCUGUAACCUGUCUGUUCACAGCCCACCACUUGAACAACCUUCCCAGGUUUUCCCCUCUUUGAACUUUUCCAGAGCGCACUCAGAAUUUAAAGGAACAGGGCCCUAUCCCUCAGGGCCUAAUGCAGAUUAUGGUUAUCUACUUCCCACUGGGUAAGGGAUUGCUUGGUAACCCUCUUACCUGAGGCAGCUACCAGAGUGAACUGAUCUCAGGGACAUAAGGCCCUGCCAAUCAGUAGCUGUGUGAUCUUGGGAAGGUUACAAAGAAAGAUGCAAAGAAUCAUAGAUUCUUGGGGUUGAAAGGGAUCAGUGCUUGAAUACAUAGUCUAAUACCUUACAGAGGUUUUAUCCACCUUCUAUUUAAUGUCCUACUGAAAAUAACUUCUGUCAUUUAUUGAGCACCUCCUAUGGGCCAAGGCCUGAGUUAGGCAUUUGUAUAUAUUGUCACUAAUCCUGAAAAUAACCCAGCAAGGUAGUUAGCACUAGCCCCAUUUUACAAGUAUGAAACUGAGACUUGAUAGGGUGACUUAGUUAGUCCAAGUGGCAAAGCCAGGGUUCGUACCCAUUGCAGUUGGCCUGGAAGUCAGUGCUCAUUCCACUUGACUGUAUGAUCUUCUAAGAGAUCCCAUUCUAACCCUAUAACGGAAGCAUACUUUAUUUUUUUAAUAUUUGAUUUAUUUAUUUGGUUGCACCAGGUCUUAGUUAUGGCUUGCAGCCUCCUUGGUUGCGGCUCGCUGGCUCCUUAGUUGUGGCAUGCGAUCUCUUAGUUGCAGCAUGCAUGUGGGACCUAGUUCCCUGACCAGGGAUCAAACCCAGGCCCCCUGCAUUGGGAGCGUAGAGUCUUAUCCACUGUGCCACAAGGGAAGUCCCUGAAGCAUACUUUAUAAUGAGCUAAAUUUGUCUUCCUCUACCUCCCACCCACCUUCACCUCCAAGUUCUACACCUCGGUAUAGCAAAGUCGUCUUCCUCUUCUACAUGCCACUCCUUCAGGUAUUUGAAUACUACAGACUACUUUGACCAUCCUGAAAAUAUUCAGCCUUUCCUCCUAUGAAAGUUUAAAAUCCCUUCACUCUCCUACUGAUUCCUUUUCAGUUCGUCUAUGUCCCAUAUAUCAACAACAAAAACCUGAAGCUUAAUAUAUGUACAGAAAAGUGCACAGAUAAUAUGUACACAGUGAAAUUUUUACAGUCACUCCUUGAUCAAGCAACAGAAGCAUUACCAGAACCCUAGAAGCCCAUGCUAUCUCAUCUGUGCCUCCCCCAGAGGUGACCCACACCCUGACUUUUAAUACAUGGAUUAUAUAGAGGGAAGCACACAAUCUGCAUCCUUUUGUGCCUGCCUUCAUUUGCUCAACAUUGUGAGAGUUUCAUGUCAUAUUGUGUGGAGCUAUAGUUAGUUCAUUCUCAUUCAUUCCUUUCUGUGUACUUCUUAAAAUAUUGUGGUAAAAUAUGUAUAAUAUAAAAUUUACCAUCGAAACAAUUAAGUGUACAGUUCAGUGGAAUUAAGUAUAUUCACAAGAUUGUGCAACUGUCACCACCAUCUGUCUCCAGAACUUUUUCAUCUCCCCAAACUGAAACUCUGUGUUUAUUAAACAAUAACUCCCCACCUGCCCCUCCUCUAGCCCCUGGCAACCACAAUUCUACUUUCUGUCUCUUUGAAUAUGCCUUCUUUAGGUACCUCAUGUAAGUGGAAUCAUAUAGUAUUUGUUCUUUUAUGAUUGGUUUAUUUCACUUAGUAUAAUGUCCUCAAGAUUCAUCCAUGUUAUAGCAUGUGUCCGAAUUUCCUUCCUUUUUAAAGCAAAAUAACAUUCCAUUGUACAGAUAUACCAUGUUUGGUUUUUUUUAAUUCUGUGUGCUUUUUAAAGUGUGUUGAGUCCCCAGUGGAUCUGGCAUGAGCAGGUCCUUUGCACAGCUCCACCACUGCAUUCCCACACUCUUUUUUCUUGCUUUCAAGUCUGGUUCCCAUCUAGACAGAGUGCUCUUUGGACCUUAUGCAUCUUUGCUUCCCCAGCACCUAGCUCCAAGUAGAAAUUCGGUGAACAAUAUCUGGUAAUAAAUGAAUGAAAGUAUAACAGCCCCGUGAAGUUCCUCCUCUUUACCUCUCUGAGCCCCAGUUUCCUCAUUCUUGAAAUAAAGCGUUCAGACUAUUGAUUCCUUAAAUCUUGCCUAGCUUGACAUUCCUGAUUUUAUGACAGUCUUGCAUUUCACAAGGCUCUUUGGUGACCUAUUCCAAGGGUUUGACAAACAAAACAACAGUAAUUUUUUAAACUACUUUUAUGUGUUCCAGUUUAUAUAUCAAUAAUUUCAGUUUAUCCCUUUGGUAACCCUGUUAGGAAAUGUGAGACUUGAAGGCUCUGUGAGAAAUUCUUCUGGACAAGGAAAAAGACUUGCAAAGUGGGUCAUUAAGGAGGUCUCUGUUAGGGAGAGGUUUGCCAAGCUAAUUUCUCUCCUUCAGUGGCUCAAUUGAAAAGCUUCCGGGGCUGUAGGGAAGCUGCAAUUCCCAACUCAGUCAAUAGGUGGCCAUUUAACUGCACCCAGAGGGAACAGAUGAAAACAACUCCAGCCCCAGAGCCAGGAUGGUCCCAAAGUGGCAGUCAACCAAAUUAGCAUUUUUCUAGGAGAAUUUGCAUGUAUAAAAUGGUUAGAAGGCCCUGAGCAUUCUGAAAUAUGCUAUCACUGGCAAUAGACUUAGAAUGCUGCCCACUCUG
This is a long non-coding RNA of Globicephala melas (long-finned pilot whale), 4647 nucleotides long. RefSeq lists it as uncharacterized. The record is from RefSeq and is a predicted model, not a curated record. Lineage: Eukaryota; Metazoa; Chordata; Mammalia; Artiodactyla; Delphinidae.